AGCAAUUUCCUUCUGAUUGAACCACUUUUGACAAAGGUUGCCAAUUCAGUUGAAGUCCAAUUUAGUAGAACCGUGUCCUACUUUAGCCAAUUGCGUGGCAUUUUUACGAAAAAUUCCACACAGCAUACCAUUCAAAUGCGGAAGGCAAAAAAGAGGCAAAAAAAUUCCACACAGCUUUCGUAUUCAUUGUUACACUUACGCAUGCCUAAUAAAAAAGGCCAAAAAAGACAAAAAAGGAAAACAAAUUAAAGCAGAAGUGUUUCAUCAGAUCUAGAUGGCGAUGGAGGCUGACAGGAAAACAAAUUUAAUAUGCUUCUGGAUUUACUCCCAGACCCAGUAAUCAAUCAUACUACUACUUCCCAUUCCCCGUCCCCAGUCCCCACACCCAUAGUGCCAUAGAGAGAGAGAGGGAAGCAAAGAUGAAUGAAGGGGGAAAUGGAAAUAGAACUGGAAAUGCACAUUAGAGCAGAGGCAGACAUACCAGUAACCAGAAAAGCGAUGGCGAUGGAGGCUGACAGAUGCGGCGAGCAACGGCUUGAGAGUAACGGAGGUAGGGUUUAGAAGUCACUCGUUCGAACAGAGAAGAAGGGAGGAAGAGAAACUAAAGCACUCAGAUGUGAAUCUCUAAAAUCCAAAGCGAUUAGAAAGAAGUUAUUGGCCAGAAGUCACGGGCCAUGGAGUUGGACGAAGCAGGGGACGGGGCUGUGCUCCUCAAAAGAUGUCUUUAAAGGUUAUUCUGCUUCAUCAAGCUACCAAGCGCCGGCAGAUGAUCCGUCCAGGAACGCCACCAGGUGCCCGAGAAGGUGAUGAAAUACAGGGAUGUAAUUGCAGACUGUUCUAAUAAGCAGAAGGCUGGGGCCUCAAGAAAUGUUACAGGUUCAUUAUCAACCUACAGAAAACCAAUAGAUAAUCAAUCUUGGAAUGAUGUAAAGUGGAUGCACAGGUUCGAGUAAGGAGUCGAAAUGCAGCUUGGCCUUGGAGCUGAUAAAGGCUCGCAAAGAAAAAUUAUCAUUUGGCGCCUCAAAAUGCAAUAGAUACAAGGAAGUUCUUGCUGGCUGACCUAGGGAAGAAAAGGGGAACCUAAUGCUUAGAUUUGAAGAUUGCCAGCUGAAUCAUGUCUUGGCAACAGGAGACAACAAGUUUCGAUGAGUUUUACUUUGUUCCACUCUCCCCCUCCCCCAUUUUAAUGAAGAUGAAAGGGAAUUCAUUUUCACCAAUUCUUUUGUAACUCACCUCAUUUUAUUUGUUGAAUUCUGCGUAAGCAAUGAAUAGAAUCCAGCCACACAAGGUAAUCAACUCAUCUUCAA
This is a non-coding RNA of Coffea arabica (coffee), 1307 nucleotides long. Lineage: Eukaryota; Viridiplantae; Streptophyta; Magnoliopsida; Gentianales; Rubiaceae. The record is from RefSeq and is a predicted model, not a curated record.